GUGCUCGCUUCGGCAGCACAUACACCAAAAUUGGAACGAUACAGAGAAGAUUAGCAUGGCCCCUGCACAAGGGUGACACGCAAAUUCGUGAAGCGUUCCAUAUUUUU
RNAcentral lists this small nuclear RNA (107 nucleotides) under Tursiops truncatus (common bottlenose dolphin). The record is from RNAcentral. RNAcentral also lists the same sequence under 1 other name. Lineage: Eukaryota; Metazoa; Chordata; Mammalia; Artiodactyla; Delphinidae.